This 434-nucleotide ribosomal RNA is filed under the name uncultured bacterium. Its description in RNAcentral is "partial 16S ribosomal RNA". It matches the Rfam family "Bacterial small subunit ribosomal RNA", at positions 29 to 507 of the family's 1533-position model. The record is from RNAcentral.
AACGAACGCUGGCGGCAUGCCUAACACAUGCAAGUCGAACGAGAUCUUUCGGGGUCUAGUGGCGCACGGGUGCGUAACGCGUGGGAAUCUGCCUUGGGUAUGGAAUAACUCAGAGAAAUUUGAGCUAAUACCAUAUGAAGUCUUCGGACCAAAGAUUUAUCGCCCUGAGAUGAGCCCGCGUAGGAUUAGCUAGUUGGUGGGGUAAAGGCCUACCAAGGCGACGAUCCUUAGCUGGUCUGAGAGGAUGAUCAGCCACACUGGGACUGAGACACGGCCCAGACUCCUACGGGAGGCAGCAGUGGGGAAUAUUGGACAAUGGGCGCAAGCCUGAUCCAGCAAUGCCGCGUGAGUGAUGAAGGCCUUAGGGUUGUAAAGCUCUUUUACCCGGGAUGAUAAUGACAGUACCGGGAGAAUAAGCCCCGGCUAACUCCGUG